RNAcentral lists this long non-coding RNA (487 nucleotides) under Oryza sativa aus subgroup. Its description in RNAcentral is "lncRNA OsN22_04G000570". Lineage: Eukaryota; Viridiplantae; Streptophyta; Magnoliopsida; Poales; Poaceae. The record is from RNAcentral.
AACCCCGAGGGCUGGGACAGGGCCAAGGGACGGGCAAUUCGUAACUGUCCGGGGACGGGGACGGGGACGAGGACGGGGUACCAUAAUCCGGGGACAUCCCCGUCGGGUUAUGGUACCCCGUUCUGGGGGGGACAGCUUCUAGAAAAACAAAGAAGAGAACAUGCUGUAGUUGAGGCUUUCGGGCUUGGGGAGGUGCUUCGUGGCGAGGAUGGCAUCGUCAAGCUGGACGCCUGGCCUUGCUUGGCGCUGAAGUGUGGCUGGGUUGGCGAGGUGGCGCUGAAGGACUUGGGGCGUGGAUGCGGCGGCGUGGCAGGGAGGCCGAGGCACCGAGCUCGCGUCGGCUGGCCUGUGGCGGCUGCUUGUGGGGAGACUAGGAGAGCAACUGGAUUUCACCAAAAUGUGAGUGACCUAGGGUUGGAUCUGAAUAUUUAUAUGCACAUAUGUGAUGGGCCACUCGUUGGGCUUUAUGGGCUGUGAGCUUAUGGAA